This is a small nuclear RNA of 176 nucleotides. Its record names the gene U4. It matches the Rfam family "U4 spliceosomal RNA". Rfam says of the family: U4 small nuclear RNA (U4 snRNA) is a component of the major U2-dependent spliceosome. The structure of U4 snRNA from yeast and human has been reported. The record is from Ensembl.
AGCUUUGCGCAGUGGUGGUAUCCUGGCCAAUGAGGUUUAUCCGAGGUAGGAUUAUUGCUAAUUAAAAAAAAAAAAAAAGGUAGAGAUCAAUAAGAAGUAAACAAAAAGACCUCUAAUGAUAGCACCCCAAAAUAUUGAAUCUCUCCAUUCAGAAUUUUUUCCAAUGUAAAUAUAUA